ACCUUGUAGGAUUGGACCUUCCAUAUAGUAUACCACCAUAUAACAAAAAUAAACAUAAAAUAAUAACAAAUAAUAUCCAAAAACAAUAUCCAAAAACAUAAUGCAAUAUAAAUAAAUAAAUAAAAACCGAAACGAUACAAUGGCGGAAGGUGAAAGCAACAGAGGAGGCAAGUGAAAAAAGUAUACUGGUAUAAAAGCUUCGUCAUAUAAAGCGCCUGGUCUUUCUCUCUUCUCUCACUUCAUGAUUUUAUCUCUUCAAUGUUGAUGCUGUUACAAUGUGAAGCACAGGGAGGCUUUUGGAUAAAAGCUUUCUUUAUCUUCUUCAUCCCAUAAAAUUCCAUUUUUAUUAAAAAAAAAAAAGAAGAAAGGAAAACUUAUACGCCCCCAAAAUUUCAAUUUGUCAUUUUCUUUAAGAAAACCAAAAAAAGAAAAAAUAUCAUAAAAAAGAAUCCAUAAACCCUCCUCCUACCGUCAUUCAUUUCAUCUUUCUAAAGCCCCUACAGAUUUCGAUUCGAAUCUCAUUUUUAUAUAUUUUUUUGCCCUCAGCUGCAACGUUUUCCAGGAUUCUGGAGAAUUGGUUUUUUGUUUCCCUUUAUAUAGUUGUUCUAGAAAUCAAAGCUUUGUUACUUUUUUUUUCUUUUUUUCCGAAGGAAGAUGUCGAUUUUGCCGAAAAGUGAAUCAAUUCACAUAAGGGAAGUUUGGGACGAGAAUUUGAAUUGUGAAUUCGAGUUAAUUCGAGAUAUUGUGGAUGAUUACCCCUUCAUUGCUAUGGACACUGAGUUCCCGGGCAUUGUUCUACGCCCAAUAGGCAAUUUCAAGAGCAGUUUUGAUUACAAUUACCAAACCUUGAAAGCAAAUGUUGAUCUUUUGAAACUGAUUCAGUUGGGUCUUACUUUCUCUGAUGCCAAAGGGAAUUUGCCUACUUGUGGAACUGAUAAAUACUGUGUUUGGCAAUUCAAUUUCCGCGAAUUCGAUCCUAAUGAGGAUGUCUAUGCUAAUGACUCCAUUGAGCUUUUGUCUCAAAGUGGCAUUGAUUUUCAGAAGAACAAAGAAAAGGGCAUUAGUUCUCAUGACUUCAGUGAAUUGUUAAUGUCAUCUGGGAUUGUUUUGAAUGAUAAUGUGCAUUGGGUGACUUUUCAUAGCGGCUACGAUUUUGGGUAUUUGCUUAAGUUGCUCACUUGCAAGAAUCUUCCUGAAACACAGACAGGGUUCUUUAGUUUGAUUAAGAUUUAUUUCCCGACUCUAUAUGAUAUCAAGCAUCUGAUGAAGUUUUGCAAUAGCCUACAUGGUGGGUUGAACAAGCUUGCAGAGCUGUUAGAAGUGGAGAGGAUUGGUAUUUGUCACCAAGCUGGUUCAGAUAGUUUGCUUACUUGUUGUACAUUCAUGAAACUGAAAGAAAAUUUCUUUAGUGGUUUGGCCGAGAAAUAUGCUGGUGUGUUAUAUGGUCUUGGUGUUGAGAAUGGACAGAAUACUCUCUAAUAAAUCAAAGAAAACUUCUUUAGUUGGUCGACUGAGAUAUGCUGGUUUGUUAUAUGGUCUUGGUCGUUCAGAAUUGACAGAAUACUUCUUAAAUAUCAAAGAAUUAUGAAAUAAAAGCUGUUUGUUAGAUUUUGUGUUCCAUUUGCAAUCUACUUAUAAUAUCUCGUAUCUUAUCAUCAGCCUGUUUUACACAUCUUACUGCACGGAUAUCAUUGAUCAUUUCAUUGAACUGUUAUACUUGCUUUGCGCUUGUUGGUUAUCAAAGAAUGUUAAAUGCAUAUGAGUGGAGGGAGAGGGUGGAGGGAUGGUAAUAGAAAUGUUUCACAAUGGCCAGCCAAAGGAUGAGGCCCUUUUCCCCCUGGAGAUUUUCAGUAUAAAAUUGUAAGCAUGCUUUCCAAAAUCAUGAUAAUAAAUAGAUAGAGAGAUAAUUUUCAUGGUAGUUUUGAACUAUUGAUAUGUUUUUGUUUCACUCCUACUAAGCUUUAAUCAAACCUCUGACAUUUUAGCAAGUUUCAUUCCUUUCAUUGUAAAUAUUUCGAAGUGUCUCAGUUCAACAGCCACAAUUCAGUGUUGCCAAGGAGCCAUUGUAAGAUUUGAUUCCACAACAUUGCCAUUUGCAGAGCAGAAGCUGUAUCAGGAUUGUAGAAUGCAGACUGAGGUCUAUCAUCUGAAUUCUCCACAGCAGAAUGGUAAUGAUUCUUCCAAGAGAUGGAGUUUACCUCCCCCAGGAUGGGUCAAACUCAACACAGACGGAGCGGUUGCCUUGAACCAUUCUUGGGCAGCAGCUGGUGGGGUUGCUAAGAGACGACCAUGGAAAUUGGCUACUUGGAUAUAGUAGAAUGUUUGUUCAGGUUCUGUUUUGCAAACUGAGUUGCUGGCGGUAUGAGAUGGUUUAAAACUAGCUUGGCAGCGAGGAUACAAGAAGAUCAUCAUUGUCAGAGUGACUCUGAGAUGGUGGUGCAGCUUAUAUCGGAUAGCUCAAUGGAUCCUCACUCGAUUACUCUUGUUCGCAAUAUUCAAGAACUUCAUCAGUGCAGGUGAGAAGUUAAAUUCGCGAAGAUUUCGAGAGAUGCAAAUAGAGUAGUUGAUUUUAUUGCUAAGCUUCAUAUUAGAAGGGACACUGCAGUGCAUUGCUUUGAGAGGCCGAUUCCUAGUGUCUGUUACUUAAUAAUGAUGUUUUGCUUGCUUAAUAAGACUAUCAAAAUAAGGUUUACUAAAUGUUAUAAAAUUAUUUAAACCCUCUCUCACACACAAAUCAGGAUUAUAACUUUUUGGUUGACAAAGAACGAAAUAAACCAAGUGUACAUAGAGCUAAUAAUUCUGGUUAAAUUCUAUUAUUAGUCCUUUUUCUUUUAA
Gossypium arboreum is the source of this 2835-nucleotide RNA transcript. It is a transcript of the gene named probable CCR4-associated factor 1 homolog 7, with no coding region annotated. The record is from RefSeq and is a predicted model, not a curated record. Lineage: Eukaryota; Viridiplantae; Streptophyta; Magnoliopsida; Malvales; Malvaceae. The transcript is spliced from 3 exons.